UUGACUCUGGGAUAACCUCCGGAAACGGGAGCUAAUACCGGAUAUGACUUACGGAGGCAUCUCCUGUCCGUGGAAAAAAUUUCGGUCAGGGAUGGACUCGCGGCCUAUCGGGUCGUUGGUGAGGUGACGGCCCACCAAGCCUACCACGGGUAGCCGGGCUGAGAGGGUGACCGGCCACCCUGGGACUGAGACACGGACCAUACUCCUACGGGAGGCAGCAGGGGGGAAUAUUGCACAAUGGGCGAAAGCCUGAUGCAGCAACGCCGCUUGAGGGACGACGGCCUUCGGGUUGUAAACCUCUUUUAGUAGGGAAGAAGCGAAAGUGACGGUACCUGCAGAAAAAGCACCGGCUAACUACGUGCCAGCAGCCGCCGGAAUACUUAGGGUGCAAGCGUUGUCCGGAAUUAUUGGGCGUAAAGAGCUCGUAGGCGGUUUGUCGCGUCUGCUGUGAAAUCCCGAGGCUCAACCUCGGGACUGCAGUGGGUACGGGCAGACUAGAGUGCGGUAGGGGAGAAUGGAAUUCCUGGUGUAGCGGUGGAAUGCGCAGAUAUCAUGAGGAACACCGAUGGCGAACGCAGUUCUCUGGAGCAUAACUGACGCUGACGAUCGAAAGCGUGGGGAGCGAACAUGAUUAGAUACCCUGGUAGUCCACGCCGUACACGUUAGGCACUAGAUGUGGGGACCAUUCCACGGUCUCCGUGUCGCAGCUAAAGUAUUAAGUUCCCCGCCUGGGGAGUACGGGCGCAAGGC
This 750-nucleotide ribosomal RNA is filed under the name Leifsonia sp. DS-5PS-8. RNAcentral describes it as "bacterial SSU rRNA". It matches the Rfam family "Bacterial small subunit ribosomal RNA", at positions 132 to 894 of the family's 1533-position model. The record is from RNAcentral. Lineage: Bacteria; Bacillati; Actinomycetota; Actinomycetes; Micrococcales; Microbacteriaceae.